CAGACUCCCGCACCAUAUAGACCCUCCCUCCAGUGUCUGGUUUCUGCUUGAGAACGUUCACAUUCAGGAAGCCCUCCACUCUGGCAGCCCAUUCCAUUGUUGAAUCCUUCCAGCUCCUAGAGGCCUUUCCUUCCACACCUAACUUCCUUGUAACCUCACCACGGGCCCAGCUUCUGCCCUUAGGAGCUAGGAUGAAAUCAACUGCACAGACCCAAUGCCAGGUCUCUAGGUUGGAGACAUCCCAGCUGAAUCCUGGCCCCCUUCUCUGGCCUUCAUUAUCCCUGUUCCUUCAGUCACCACUCAGGUGCAUUUGUUUUGAGACUACCUCGUCACUGUAUUGCAGAGGCAAGACUGGCACCAGUGGUUAAGCAAUAAUAUGAGCCACCUUAAAACUAGGAGUCAAAUUAGUUCUGUAGCUAUACAAGUGGGCGUGGACUUGUACAUGCACAUGUGCGUGCAAGUGCACCAUUAUGGGAUAGCAGCAUGUUGCCACUGACAGGACAAGAGUGUUGUCCUUGUUUCUACAGGCUUAUCUGAGCCCUCAAAAGGAUUAACAAAGAAACCAACACAUAGGCCAUUCUUCUCCAUGGAGUGCCUUGAUUAGGCCUCUUGAACAUGGAGAGGGACAGAUGUAGGCACUCAAGGAAGACAUGGAAGAGGGAGUGAGGCUCGCGCUCACCUUGAACCUGGGAUAGAACUUGGGAACUUGCACUUGCAAGGCAGGUGGCAGAACCACUGAGCUAAAUCCCCAGCCGUGUAUUCUGUCAGAAUAAAUGACGUUUGAAAUAUCAAGGGUAGAAUGAAUAUCAGCAAGAGGAAAUCGUAGACCAAGAGGGAAGAUCUGAUUGAGUAUAAGGAACGCAUUAACACUGAAGAAAAUCAUGUUUUCUGGACUGGACACAAACUCAGGGCGCUGGGAGGAAACAGGAGUUGUAAACACACCUGUGGUGUUGAGGCAUUGGAGGAGAUGGGCAGUUUCCUCAGAGGACUCUGGGUUCUUUGGCAUAGAAAAUACCUUGAAAGCUGUACGGGUACCCAUUGUCUGUAUCCAAACCUGAUGUGUGCUGGGACCAUUUCAGCGACUGAACUACUAGAAAUCGAUUUCUGAGCACUAACACCCAUCCAGGUCAGGAAUCCAGCAACUGAACCAAUGAAUGCAGCCAAAGAGCGAGAAAUAAAUUUCCUGUUUUCCCACUACAUUACCUGGCAUCCUUGCAGUGUUUCUCUCCUUAUGAAUUCAUCACAGUUGAAUCCUUCUUUGGAGAAGGCUGCCUCGGGUCAAAUCCAUGUCCUACCACUUGUAAGCUGAAGGAUGUAGCUCAAUCCCCUCAUCUAUACCUUGUGGAUAAUAAAAAUCUCUCAUCCAUGUAACAGAGCUUAUCUGUAUAAAGUGCUUGGAAUAGGACCUAGCUUGGUAGCAAGCACUCAGUAAGGCACUCCGUAGUUUUACUCAAUAAAAGUUUCACUUCACUUGCACCCUUAUACAUACAUGAAAACCUCUGGCUUGAAAGGAAUCUACACGCUGACCACAACCUCCAACACCUAGGAACCCAUUCUGCAACAUGGUAUUUUCAGUCUACUUGAGCCUUACUGCCUCAGGGAGCAGCAUCCCAUCUUCGGACAGCGCUAACUUCUAGGAGAGCAAGG
Molecule: long non-coding RNA, 1647 nt
Filed under: Heterocephalus glaber (naked mole-rat)
Lineage: Eukaryota; Metazoa; Chordata; Mammalia; Rodentia; Bathyergidae
Description: lncRNA (ENSHGLG00000037367.1)
Source: RNAcentral